ACAGCAGGAGCUCAGAGGAGAUGGCUUGUGCUCCUUUUCACCUGCUGCUUAUCUCCACACACCGAAAUACCUGAGAAUCGUGGCUGUAUUCGUCGGCAGACAAGGAGCUGUUAUUUGGCCGAGUCAGGAGUGACUGUAAUACCAUAAACAGAAGUGAUGUUUCCAGGAAAGUAAGGUCUCAAAUGUCUUCAAGUUCUUCUGGUAAGAAGACAUCCUUUACUGAAGGACACAGCAAACAUAUGAGAAAUGGUGUUGCAAUUCGGUCGCUGGGAUAAGUUUUACAGGAGUUGUUACACUGCGCUUAAAGAAAGACAAACCCCAUCCCACCGA
Corvus hawaiiensis (hawaiian crow) is the source of this 330-nucleotide long non-coding RNA. RefSeq lists it as uncharacterized. Lineage: Eukaryota; Metazoa; Chordata; Aves; Passeriformes; Corvidae. The transcript has 3 exons. The record is from RefSeq and is a predicted model, not a curated record.